AACGAACGCUGGCGGCAGGCUUAACACAUGCAAGUCGAGCGAAGACUUCGGUCUUAGCGGCGGACGGGUGAGUAACACGUGGGUAACCUGCCCAUCAGAGGGGGAUAACACUUGGAAACAGGUGCUAAUACCGCAUAAUUCCUUUUACCGCAUGGUAAAAGGCUGAAAGGCGCUUCUGGUGUCACUGAUGGAUGGACCCGCGGUGCAUUAGCUAGUCGGUGGGGUAACGGCCUACCGAGGCGAUGAUGCAUAGCCGACCUGAGAGGGUGAUCGGCCACAUUGGGACUGAGACACGGCCCAAACUCCUACGGGAGGCAGCAGUAGGGAAUCUUCGGCAAUGGACGAAAGUCUGACCGAGCAACGCCGCGUGAGUGAAGAAGGUUUUCGGAUCGUAAAACUCUGUUGUUAGAGAAGAACAGGAGAAGUAGUAACUGGCUUCUUUUUGACGGUAUCUAACCAGAAAGCCACGGCUAACUACGUGCCAGCCGCCGCAGUAAUA
RNAcentral lists this ribosomal RNA (499 nucleotides) under uncultured bacterium. RNAcentral describes it as "bacterial SSU rRNA". It matches the Rfam family "Bacterial small subunit ribosomal RNA", at positions 29 to 525 of the family's 1533-position model. The record is from RNAcentral.